Long non-coding RNA from Melozone crissalis (California towhee), 305 nucleotides. RefSeq lists it as uncharacterized. The record is from RefSeq and is a predicted model, not a curated record. The transcript has 3 exons. NCBI's taxonomy places the organism in Eukaryota, Metazoa, Chordata, Aves, Passeriformes, Passerellidae.
CAUACAGAGAGAUGAAAAAGAUGAUGUCAUAAAAGACAUCAAGGCUCAGCUGCAGACGUCACAAAAUAAGAUUGCUGACUUAAUGGAAGCAAAAUUACAUAAUGAAGAAAUGUUAAAGGAAUCCCAGGGCAGUAAAGAACAUUUGAGGGCAGAGCUGGAAGAGGCUAAAAUUUCAUUGCAAAAGGCAGAGGUUACUCAGAAGAACUUGGAAACUGAAUUCCAGACUACAGUGAAAACAUUAAUUCAGGUCACUGGAGAAAAGGAAGAGCAGGAGGAAGAAUGUAAAAAAAUGAAGGCUUUGCUUG